CUCCCAUGUCUCCUUUAUCUGGUAGGAAAGAUAGGUAAAGUUCUUUCAGAUUUGUAAGUAAGGCCACAUAGCAACCAAAGAAUACACAGAAGCUGUUAAAUUCAUCAUACAUAUUUACUUAAUCUCUACAGAAUUGAGUAGAUAAAAUCAGAUUCACGUUAGUGAAAAAUCUCUACAAAAUGUCUUUGAAAAGCAAAACAAGACUGCCUCUUAACAAUUCAUAUCCUCAUGAAAGACGUGGGCUGUAAAAAUAAAGCAGUGUGUUUAGCACAAACUAGAAGAUAUCUGCAUCAUUUUUUCACAGUUAUUUCCAUCUACAGUCUGAAAGAGGUAGAUUUUUUUUCUGCAACACCUGAGAAUUGAAUUGUGAUAACCAGGUGUGUAAUAAAGGCAGUUGCAUACAUAACUAAAAAUACAGGUCUCAAGACCAGAAAAUGUACUUCUACAAGUCUGAGGAUGAAAUGGCCUGAUACCCAAGACCCAACUUGUCGCUACAUUUUGGGGUCUACUGCCACUAAAAAUAUACAUCAAGAUUGCAUGGUAGUGCACCAUAUGCAGUAAGUGAAUUCAACAUUUAAAUCUUUUCUGGGCCAGCAAAGUAGCAUUACAGUGUUCUAGAAUACGGUAGAUAGAGGGCGUGCUACAAAGCCACAACACUGGGCUGGUGAGGUGAUCGAUUUAGGGGGAGGGUAUCCUUCUCUGAGGUCCCAUCUGUUUUUAUUCACAGGGUAAUAGGAGGAGAGAUUCUGCAUGUAUCUCAUACAGAAUCCCUAUCCUCUGAAGAUCUAGCUAAAAAUGCAUGUAAGCCAAAAGCAGCAGGCCAGGACUGUUAAUCACAUUGCUUUAUAAAGCCCUUGAAAAUAUGCAACAGGUCGAAGAUUACAGUCUUCCACACAGGACAAGCACCACAAAUGUGGCAGGCUACACACAUGGCUUAAUAAAAUGUUAAGAGCUGUGUAUCCAGCAGACUUAUGAAAUGUGAUUGUUAGUAAUUAUUUCAAAGUAGAUUAUAUUAUCAAUACACGUUUGUGGGAAAUGAGUCCAGUAUUUCAUUUAGUAACUGAAGGCGGGGAAGGUAUUUAUAAAGAGGCUGUUGAAAGGAAUUUUUUUGUUUCUGACUUUGACAGCAGUAAGAUUACAACUUAUUUUAUGAAUUUAUUCUUCCAUUUUGUGACCCAUUGAAUAACAUGAUCAAUGAUAAAAAAAAAUUUCCUACUCCAGGGACUCUGUUUUCUGUCAUUUGAACAUUUUUCAAUUCUUUGAACCCAGUUUUGACCAUAAAAUGUGACCGUUUACAAAUAAAAUUUUUAGCAGUAACCAAC
This 1322-nucleotide long non-coding RNA is filed under the name Rattus norvegicus (Norway rat). RNAcentral's name for it is "long non-coding RNA NONRATT030958". Lineage: Eukaryota; Metazoa; Chordata; Mammalia; Rodentia; Muridae. The record is from RNAcentral.